Molecule: long non-coding RNA, 528 nt
Filed under: Canis lupus familiaris (dog)
Lineage: Eukaryota; Metazoa; Chordata; Mammalia; Carnivora; Canidae
Description: lncRNA (ENSCAFG00040003414.1)
Source: RNAcentral
AUGAACGCAGAGAUACUUUACAUGCAAACACACACACACACACACACACACACACACACACACACACACACAAAUGCUGUUCCCAUUUCCCCCUGUCUUUCAUCUGACAAAGCGGGUAGUGACUGCGAGCUCAGAAUUGGCUGGCGGAGGUGUCUGCUGGUGUGUGGGCUCCAUUUCUGGGGCUUUAUCAAGCCCUGUCUCCGAUUUUCCCAUUUCAGACAAUCUUCCUUUGAAGACGUGGAUGACAUAGUAAAACCGAUUGCACUUGAGAGCCGAUUCCAUGACUAUUUUGCUGCAACAGCGAAAGGAAUGGCACCUUUCUGCAUUUCCUGAAAGGCACCCACCCACUACCUGGGAGAACUGGCCCCUGACUUUAGUGAUGAGCUUUUCUUUCUGGAAGAUGAGGAAGCAACCAAGGUCACGAUCGCCGCCCGUGUCACCUUCCCAUCUUCCUGGAGGGACGACCAUCCCUUCCGUUGGGUACCGCCUCGUGUCCCUGCCAUUUCGUUGUGUAGCAUUAAAACUAGG